Molecule: small nuclear RNA, 104 nt
Filed under: Procavia capensis (Cape rock hyrax)
Lineage: Eukaryota; Metazoa; Chordata; Mammalia; Hyracoidea; Procaviidae
Source: RNAcentral
GUGCUUGCUUCAGCAGCACGUAUACUAAAAUUGAAACAAUACGGAGAUUACCAUGAUCCCUGCACAAGGAUGACACACAAAUUAACGAAGCAUUUCAUAUUUUU